CCUACGGGGGGCAGCAGUGAGGAAUAUUGGUCAAUGGGCGUAAGCCUGAACCAGCCAAGUCGCGUGAGGGAUGAAGGUUCUAUGGAUCGUAAACCUCUUUUAUAAGGGAAUAAAGUGCGGGACGUGUCCCGUUUUGUAUGUACCUUAUGAAUAAGGAUCGGCUAACUCCGUGCCAGCAGCCGCGGUAAUACGGAGGGUCCGAGCGUUAUCCGGAUUUAUUGGGUUUAAAGGGUGCGUAGGCGGCCUUUUAAGUUCGCGGGGAAAGUCUGUGGCUCAACCAUAGAAGUGCCGUUGAAACUGGGAGGCUUGAGGAUGUUUGAGGCAGGCGGAAUGCGUGGUGUAGCGGUGAAAUGCUUAGAUAUCACGCAGAACCCCGAUUGCGAAGGCAGCCUGCCAAGCCAUGACUGACGCUGAUGCACGAAAGCGUGGGGAUCAAACAGGAUUAGAUACCCGGGUAGUC
RNAcentral lists this ribosomal RNA (460 nucleotides) under uncultured bacterium. RNAcentral describes it as "partial 16S ribosomal RNA". It matches the Rfam family "Bacterial small subunit ribosomal RNA", at positions 338 to 795 of the family's 1533-position model. The record is from RNAcentral.